Molecule: long non-coding RNA, 228 nt
Filed under: Brassica napus (rape)
Lineage: Eukaryota; Viridiplantae; Streptophyta; Magnoliopsida; Brassicales; Brassicaceae
Description: long non-coding RNA (BNAP_LNC013500)
Source: RNAcentral
AGUGCUUGCUCGUUUUGGGAUGCGGUCAAAGUGUCGGUGGCGCUUUAUUCGAGCUGGCCUUGGUGGCAUUCGCAAGGCAUUGGUAAGUAUCUGAUCUCUCCCCUUCAGUCGUCUUGCGCUUCGUAGACAGAGGAAGUUAUGAGCUUGUGGAGAUCAUCGGGAACUAGCUACUCCGGAAACGUCAAGGGAACUCCCGGCAUCCGCGGAAACACGGAGAACCUCACUUUC